This 265-nucleotide unclassified non-coding RNA is filed under the name Hevea brasiliensis (rubber tree). The record is from RNAcentral. Lineage: Eukaryota; Viridiplantae; Streptophyta; Magnoliopsida; Malpighiales; Euphorbiaceae.
CCUGAUCCUCCUUUGCCAAUCAAAUUCUCUGACUUGAUGGCAUCAAUGAUGUCUCUUUCACUAAAAUUUAGUGCUCUAAAAGACUUCAUAUCCCAAGGACUCCGCUUUAGUGGAUGAUCAAGAUUGUUUUGUCUUAGCUUCACAAACAAUAAACAACCAGAAAAAAUGACCAAAACUAGCAGACCGGCUGCAAUACAAGAAAGAAGUACGCGACGGUGACCAGAAGUGCGAGAAGUGGCUGAACAAGGUUGGAUAUUCCUCAGAU